GACAGAGGGUGCAAACGUUGCUCGGAAUCACUGGGCGUAAAGGGCGUGUAGGCGGGAAGGAAAGUCAGAUGUGAAAUCCCCAGGCUCAACCUGGGAACUGCAUUUGAAACUCCCUUUCUUGAGUACCGGAGAGGAAAGUGGAAUUCCUGGUGUAGAGGUGAAAUUCGUAGAUAUCGAGAGGAACACCAGUGGCGAAGGCGAGUCUCUAGACAACUCCUGACACUGAGGCACGAAAGCUAGGGGAGCAAACAGG
Molecule: ribosomal RNA, 253 nt
Filed under: uncultured bacterium
Lineage: Bacteria
Description: partial 16S ribosomal RNA
Rfam family: Bacterial small subunit ribosomal RNA
Source: RNAcentral